RNAcentral lists this non-coding RNA (495 nucleotides) under uncultured Archaeospora. Its description in RNAcentral is "SSU rRNA". It matches the Rfam family "Eukaryotic small subunit ribosomal RNA", at positions 591 to 1092 of the family's 1831-position model. The record is from RNAcentral. RNAcentral also lists the same sequence under 1 other name. Lineage: Eukaryota; Fungi; Glomeromycota; Glomeromycetes; Archaeosporales; Archaeosporaceae.
CCAAUAGCGUAUAUUAAAGUUGUUGCAGUUAAAAAGCUCGUAGUUGAAUUUUAGGCCUGACCGGACGGUCCGUCUUUGGCGAGUACUGUUCUGUUGUCGGGUCUAUCCUUCUGGUGAGCCGGUAUGUCCUUUAUUGGGUGUGUCGGGGAACCAGGACCAUUACCUUGAAAAAAUUAGAGUGUUUAAAGCGGGCUUUUGCUUGAAUAGAUUAGCAUGGAAUAAUAGAAUAGGACGUUGGUUCUAUUUUGUUGGUCUAGGACCACCGUAAUGAUUAAUAGGGAUAGUUGGGGGCAUUAGUAUUCAAUUGUCAGAGGUGAAAUUCUUGGAUUUAUUGAAGACUAACUACUGCGAAAGCAUUUGCCAAGGAUGUUUUCAUUAAUCAAGAACGAAAGUUAGGGGAUCGAAGACGAUCAGAUACCGUCGUAGUCUUAACCAUAAACUAUGCCGACUAGGAAUCGGGCGACGUUAUUUUCAUGACUCGCUCGGCGCCUUAUG